GGGGGCGGGCUACCAUGCAGUCGAGCGGUAAGGCCCUUCGGGGUACACGAGCGGCGAACGGGUGAGUAACACGUGAGCAACCUGCCCCUGACUCUGGGAUAAGCGGUGGAAACGCCGUCUAAUACCGGAUACGACCCGCCACCUCAUGGUGGAGGGUGGAAAGUUUUUCGGUCAGGGAUGGGCUCGCGGCCUAUCAGCUUGUUGGUGGGGUAACGGCCUACCAAGGCGAUUACGGGUAGCCGGCCUGAGAGGGCGACCGGCCACACUGGGACUGAGACACGGCCCAGACUCCUGCGGGAGGCAGCAGUGGGGAAUAUUGCGCAAUGGGCGAAAGCCUGACGCAGCGACGCCGCGUGGGGGAUGACGGCCUUCGGGUUGUAAACCUCUUUUACCACCAACGCAGGCUCGAAGUUCUCUUCGGGUUGACGGUAGGUGGGGAAUAAGGACCGGCUAACUACGUGCCAGCAGCCGCGGUAAUACGUAGGGUCCGAGCGUUGUCCGGAAUUAUUGGGCGUAAAGAGCUCGUAGGCGGCGUGUCUCGUCUGCUGUGAAAGACCGGGGCUUAACUCCGGUUCUGCAGUGGAUACGGGCAUGCUAGAGGUAGGUAGGGGAGACUGGAAUUCCUGGUGUAGCGGUGAAAUGCGCAGAUAUCAUGAGGAACACCAGGUGGCGAAGGCGGGUCUCUGGGCGUUACUUGACGCUGAGGAGCGAAAGCAUGGGGAGCGAACAGGAUUAGAUACCCUGGUAGUCCAUGCCGUAAACGUUGGGCGCUAGGUGUGGGAGACUUUCCACGGUUUCCGCGCCGUAGCUAACGCAUUACGCGCCCCCGCCUGGGGGAGUACGGCCGCUAAGGCUNAAAACUCAAAAGGAAUUGACGGGGGCCCGCACAAGCGGCGGAGCAUGUUGCUUAAUUCGACGCAACGCGAAGAACCUUACCAAGGUUUGACAUCACCCGUGGACUCGCAGAGAUGUGAGGUCAUUUAGUUGGCGGGUGACAGGUGGUGCAUGGCUGUCGUCAGCUCGUGUCGUGAGAUGUUGGGUUAAGUCCCGCAACGAGCGCAACCCUUGUUCCAUGUUGCCAGCACGUAAUGGUGGGGACUCAUGGGAGACUGCCGGGGUCAACUCGGAGGAAGGUGGGGAUGACGUCAAGUCAUCAUGCCCCUUAUGUCUUGGGCUGCAAACAUGCUACAAUGGCCGGUACAAUGGGCGUGCGAUACCGUAAGGUGGAGCGAAUCCCUAAAAGCCGGUCUCAGUUCGGAUUGGGGUCUGCAACUCGACCCCAUGAAGGUGGAGUCGCUAGUAAUCGCGGAUCAGCAACGCCGCGGUGAAUACGUUCCCGGGCCUCGUACACACCGCCCGUCACGUCAUGAAAGUCGGCAACACCCGAAACUUGCGGCCUAACCCCUUGUGGGAGGAGUGAGUGCAACGUGGAAG
RNAcentral lists this ribosomal RNA (1434 nucleotides) under Nocardiopsis sp. JN2. Its description in RNAcentral is "bacterial SSU rRNA". It matches the Rfam family "Bacterial small subunit ribosomal RNA". Lineage: Bacteria; Bacillati; Actinomycetota; Actinomycetes; Streptosporangiales; Nocardiopsidaceae. The record is from RNAcentral.